CAGAAGGUAGUUAAAUAAUAUAAUAGGGGCUUUGGGAGCACCAGUUCUUCGUCUUGAAGUAUUCUGA
This 67-nucleotide transfer RNA is filed under the name Panopea generosa. Its description in RNAcentral is "tRNA-Pro". The record is from RNAcentral. Lineage: Eukaryota; Metazoa; Mollusca; Bivalvia; Adapedonta; Hiatellidae.